UAGGGAAUCUUCGGCAAUGGGGGCAACCCUGACCGAGCAACGCCGCGUGAGUGAAGAAGGUUUUCGGAUCGUAAAGCUCUGUUGUAAGAGAAGAACGUGUGUGAGAGUGGAAAGUUCACACAGUGACGGUAACUUACCAGAAAGGGACGGCUAACUACGUGCCAGCAGCCGCGGUAAUACGUAGGUGCCGAGCGUUUUCCGGAUUCAUUGGGCGUAAAGCGAGCGCAGGCGGUUUAAUAAGUCUGAAGUUAAAGGCAGUGGCUUAACUCUUGUUCGCUUUGGAAACUGUUAAACUUGAGUGCAGAAGGGGAGAGUGGAAUUCCAUGUGUAGCGGUGGAAUGCGUAGAUAUAUGGAGGAACACCGGUGGCGAAAGCGGCUCUCUGGUCUGUAACUGACGCUGAGGCUCGAAAGCGUGGGGAGCAAACAGG
This 429-nucleotide ribosomal RNA is filed under the name bacterium. RNAcentral describes it as "partial 16S ribosomal RNA". It matches the Rfam family "Bacterial small subunit ribosomal RNA", at positions 355 to 776 of the family's 1533-position model. The record is from RNAcentral.